AUUCUCCUUAUCUACCACCAUGUAAGACAUGCCUUUCGCCUUCCACCGUGAUUAUGAGGCCUCCCCAGCCACGUGGAACUGUGAGUCCAUUACACCUCUUUUUCUCUAUAAAUUACCCAGUCUUGGGUAUGUCUUUAUCAGCAGUGUGAAGAUAGACUAAUACAUUCUCCAAGUCAGAGUUUAUUGCCCCCUCAUCUAUUUUCCCAUUACUUAAUUGAAAUAAUAUCAACAUCUAUCUUUCUUUUUUUUUUUAUUUUGAGACGGAGUUUCUUUCUUUCUUUUCUUUUCUUUUUUUUUUUUUUUCCACUCUUGUCGCCCAGGUUGGAGUGCAGUGCCAUGAUCUCGGCUCACUGCAACCUUCGCCUCCUGGGUUCAAGUGAUUCUCCUGCCUCAGCCUUCCAAGUAGCUGGGAUUAUAGGCACAUGCCACCAUGCCCAGCUAAUUUUGUAUUUUUAGUAGAGACAGAGUUUCUCCAUGUUGGUCAGGCUGUUCUCCAACUCCUGACCUCAGGUGAUCCACCCGCCUCGGCUUCCCAAAGUGCUGGGAUUACAGGCAUAAGCCACCGCGCCUGGCCCACCAUCUAUCUUUCUAUGUUUGUUUAAGCUUUUUGAGCAGACAGAACUUUUCAUAAUCAUUUCUGUAAUUAUGCUACCCUUAGUAAUUCAAUACAAGUUGAAAUUAACUUCCAAAUAUCUUACCUCUUAGAUUAGAAAUCUAUCAAUAGGACAUUUAUAUUGAAUAACCUUGUAUUUAAAUCAUAUUAUGUCACUAAUGUUUUUACUUAGAGACUAUGAAUUGUAAGCACCAUUUUAAAGACAGGAAAAUAAAAUACAAAGGAGAUAUUUGGUGGAGAUCAGCCAAUGAAAUUGUGAAAGAUUUUAGAGAAGAAUUUGGUAUUCCUCAUCUUUAGUGCUAUUUUUGAGACAGGCUAAGAUAGAAGUACUAGCCAAAUGUAACUAAGUUUAAAUUCACUAAAAUUAGAGAAAAACGUAAAAUUCAGUUAUUUAUUCACAUCAGAAACAUUUUAAGCACUCAAUAGCCACAUAUGGCUAGUGACUACUGUAUUGAAUAAUGUUGGUGUAAACAUUUUCAUCAUCACAUAAAGUUUUUUCAACAACAUUGUUCUAUUUCCCUUUUUUUCCUUUGUAGCAUACACUUAAUAAUUCAUUACCUAUUAAGGUAAGAUUCUACUCCUUUUUUGGUGUUUUGUUCUUUCUUUAUUUUUAUUUGCUCCUGCAUUGUGAAAUCCGGUGUUUGGUGUGUGUCAGAAUGAAUAACUAUAUGAUUUUCCAAAUACCUCUUAUAAACUAACUGCCAUUCUUCCAUGUCUUUGGAAUUUCUUUCAAUCCAGCUUCUUCUCAGCUGAGGUCAUGCAAAAAUGACUCACUUGCAUAUGAUACUUUCCUUGAGGAAUUAAACCAUAAACUGUAUCCUUUUGUGCAAAUCCCUUACACAUCUCAGUCAUGAAUCUGUAUGGCUCUCACUUCAUUUAUUCUGGCUUAGUUAUCAGCAUAAGCCUGUAAAAGUCAAAUUUUGCUAACAAAUGGAAGUAAUAGCAAAGAAAGCUAAGGACAAUUUAUUUCCCUUAGGAGAUGGGAAGCAGAGGUACAAACAACUUUUGUUCCACCACCCUUUUCACUUAAAACACACACACACACGCACACACACAUGCACGCACACACACACACAUACACUAUCUUACUACUUGAAAAUGAGGGCAUUAGAGUCUAGAUAAAAGGGACAGAGGGACAGAGUACACUAAUGUGAAGAUCUCUUGUCAGUUGUACAUUCUGAAUAAACAUUUCAUCUUACCUUAAUGCAUAGGAAACUCGAACUUGUUUUCAGAACAAUGAAGUCAUUACUCCUAACUCAGUAUUACUUCUAAAUUCUGGGCCUAGUUCAAAUAUUAUUGUAUAUAUUUUAUUUAUUUGCAAAGUCAUCUACUUGCAUGUAAAGCUGACAAGACUGUAAGUAAUUAAGCCAGGUGUGUCCCCUCAUCUUUUUAUCCCCAGCAUAUAUUAGGAAUGAGCUGAUACAGCCCAUUCCUCAAAUCCUGAGUAGUCCGGCCUUCCAUAUCCCUGGCCAUAUUCCUCAUUCACCAUUACCAGCCCUCCUUGCAUUGUGUAUUGAGGGAGAAGAUUCCUAGAAGCAACAUUCAUCGUCUCUCUUUUCAAUGAUGGACAACUCUCUGCUGUGCCAAAUAUACUAACUUUAACCACCCACUGCCAAACUCACACCUCCUUGUUCAACAAGCCAGUUACGGGCAGUGAAUGAAUCUACGAUGCUGAACAGCCCCGUGGGCAUCUUCUCACUGGGCACUGGCUAGAAUGCAGUUGGAUUAGACUUUCACAAUUGCUUUGUUUUCAAGCCAGGAAGGAGAAAUUGAAGGCAAUUCACCACCUUUCUAUAUCCAAGAUGAAAACACAGCACUCUCCUAAACUUCAGAAGUAUAACUCAGUGGGUUAGUACUUCAGAUCUAGCCUGAGGCAAAAUUAUGAUUUUUCCAAAAGAUUUUCUUUUUUUAGCAUUCUUUUCCUUACACGCAGGCCUUUGAUCAAGCUACAGUUUUGAACUGAUUACAGCUUUUGAAGCCUCAGAAGAUUUAAAGACCCACAUUGUUAACAAUGGUGUUUUAGGUGUGUGGCGUAUUAGAGGAGUCGGGUUAAGAGUAUGAACCUUACCAACAGGUAAAAAUGUGUCAUAUUAAUUUUUUCAACAUCAACAAACACGUCAAAAGAUGGAGCACUGAAAGCUGCAUUUUAAACAAAUGCCCCAGCGAAGGUCUGCAGCUUCACUCCUGAAGCCAGCGAGACCACGAACCCACCGGGAGAAACGAACAACUCCAGACGCAUCACUUUAAGAACUGUGACGCUCACCGCGAAGGUUUGCAACUUCACUCCUGAGCCACCGAGACUACGAACCCACCGGAAGGAAGAAACUCCGAACACAUCCGAACAUCAGAAGGAACAAACUCCAGACACGCCGCCUUUAAGAACUGUAACACUCACCGCGAGGGUCCGCGGUUUAUUCUUGAGGUCAGUGAGACCAAGAACCCACCAAUUCUGGACACACCACCUUGCCCUUCUACUUUUCACAGGUACUAAGGUCUCAAACUCAUAAGUUUUUCCAGGGUUUUCUGCAUUGAACAACUUUUUGUUUGUUUGGUGGUGGUAGUGAGGAAUAGACCUUCCCCCUUUGAAAGCUUCCCUUGUUUCCUUUAGUCUGAUAAAUCAGUUACCACUUAAAUAUCUGCUUCCUAGCUUCUGAACUCAUGCUGAUAAUGCCCAUCUGCUGUCUUUACAUGCCUGGUGUCUCUGAUGGCCAUUUUUCUUAGGGGCUUGUUCAGUGCAAAUAAAUGACUCUCUAUGGAAAAAAAGAAAAAGGGAAAACUGAUUUAUAGCAUUUGCCAAUUUCUAGUGGUGUAGAUGCUCUUACUAUAUGACUGUCUUCAAGCUACCAAUAAUUUAACAGGCUUGCAAGAGUCCUGAAUACUUAUCAGUUAUAUCUCAGUAGCAGGUAAGUGCUAUCUCCAGCCCAGCACUGUUUAUGCCUUUGUUAGUUUUACUGUCUCUUUAGUAAGGCUUUUGGAGAGGGUUGAGAUAAAAGUAUAUCUCUCCAUAUUUAACUGGAAGUCUCAAUUUCUUGCCUAUUUGUGUAGACAUAAGCUGACUUGGAAAAUUAGCUACUUGAGUGGAGUAAAUUUUAAAAAUGGAAAUUAUAUGGAAUAUAUGUGUAGGGCUUUGCCUCAAACAAUGACAAAUUUGUUUUUUCUAUAGCCCCGGCUAUUCAGGGGACUGAGGCAGGAAGAUCCCUUGAGCUCUGGAGUCCAGCAGGGGCAACAUAGCGAGCCUUAAGGAAAAACAAAACAAAAAACAAUGUUUCUUCUUCAUUCAACGUCAUUGUCCUAACUUUCUUUAAGUUAAUAAGGCCUCUUCCUGCUCAUUCUUUCCCUAACAUUCAUAAACACAUAUAAAGUGACUAAGGGAUUUAAAAGAAACAAAACAAAGUUCACUUCCUUAAACGAAACGAGUUUACUUAGGAAGAUGUGCUUUAAAACACUGAGAGGGGCCGGGCAUGGUGGCUUGUGCCUGUAAUCCCAGCUGACACGGGUGGAUCACGCGGUCAGGAGAUCGAGACCAUCCUGACUAACACGGUGAAACCCCGUCUCUACUAAAAACUGCAAAAAAUUAGCCGGGCGUGGUGGCAGGCGCCUGCAGUCCCAGCUACUCGGGAGGUUGAGGCAGGGGAAUGGCGUGAACCCGGGAGGCGGAGCUUGCGGUGAGCCGAGAUGGCGCCACUGCACUCCAGCCUGGGCGACAGAGUGAGACUCCGUCUCAAAAAAACAAACAAACAAACAAAAAACACUGAGAGGGUAUUUAGGGCUUUAAUGUACUAACACCAACUCAUAAGCAUCAUCAGUCAUUUAUAUCUUGGAGGUGUGGAACAAGUAAACUGAGGUAAUGAAAUAAUAUUUGCCUUCACAUUAGUCACUGCUCAGUCACUUAGAGAUGUAAAUUGCAGAAGAUAUACAACUUGUAAAAAUUAUCUCAUUCUUUCUAAUUGGAUUGUGAAAUAUCUAACACCAGCUCCAUUUUUAAGAAAUGUUAAUGCAAACCUGAGAGACUGCAAAUACUGCCAGUGUUGCCUUCUAUAGAAACGGGAUUUGGCUGGAUGAUAUCCCUGGACUAAUCAUCUACAAUGUGGAAAUACUAAGAAUCAUGGCACAGAGGUUAAUACACUUAGGCAAACAACAUAGUGAGUAAAUUAAACUCGCAUUUCUUUUAACGAGAUAAAGUUUGUCACAUACCCACAGAAUUCAUGAGGAAGUUCUGAAAGGAUCAUACACUCCCAAAAUUUGCAGUGAAAACGAUCUUAGAUAAUGUCUUUUUCAUAGCACUCAAUUAUAUGUAAGGAAACUGAGGCCCAAAGUGGUGAAGCCAGUGAGAGAGUGGACUAAAGAAAGACUCAUUGUAUCUACCUCGCACUUGCGAAUUUCCUAUCUAAAGAUUUCUGUUAGCCCCCAAACAUCCCCCAGGAUCAGGAGAAAAUAAAACCAGGAUAUUUACAUUUCCCAUACUUCUCAUAUGGAAGAAAUGCUUUUGGUUCCAAGUACUGUUGUCCACUGAAAUAUCAGCAUACAUGUUUGGAAAGUUUUACUUGUGUGAAAUAAUUAAAAUCCAU
Molecule: long non-coding RNA, 5181 nt
Filed under: Homo sapiens (human)
Lineage: Eukaryota; Metazoa; Chordata; Mammalia; Primates; Hominidae
Description: HSALNT0306535
Source: RNAcentral